GCCAGCCCUGGUGACCCUGCCAGGGACCGUAGUGUAUCCCAUGCCUGUUUUAUCUCCAAGCAAAGCUUGAUUUUGCUUGUUAGUGUGGAAUAAAUACAAGUGUAGUAAAAUGGACAAUUAAAUUGGUCACUUUGGAGGAUAUGCUCAUGGUUUCGCAUGUCAGUCCUGUACCUCGUGCUCCCAAGGCUUGUCUCUCAUCAUGAAAUAUUUUAAUAAAAAAACUCAGAUCCUAUGUUGUAUCUGAAUAAAAUUGCAUCAGCUCAUCAAGAAAUCUGCUGACAGGAACAAGACAAAAGCCUUCUGACUUUCACUUUCAGCUGUCCUGGAUUUCUGCAGCUCUUUGAAUAGCUGCUGUAGCUGGAGUGUUUGGAGUUGGUUUGGGCCUUUAUGAGAGAUAUGUAGAAUAGUCUGCAGGGCUCUCCUAGCAGAAAACUGUUUGUCCAAGCCCAUGGACAUUAUGCCAACAGAAGCAGAGCAGCCCCACUCCCAGCCCGAGAGUCUGUGCACUGAGCCACACCCAGGAGAAAAGACACAGAGGGGAUCCAGCCUAGCUGUUUCACCUGCCAUAAAUGUUCCAUGGAGCUCUGCCAUUGGGAGAAAGUCGAUACUAGAUGAGCCACUGAACUUUCAUCUGCUAUCAUAGAAAUACUCCGUGCUUGCUCCUGAUCUUCCCGAGAGAAAACCCGGCACCAACUUGUAACACGUGUCAUGGGGGGAUUAUCCUCUGGUAUUUUGGGUCUUUGUUCCAGUGGGGGGACGGUGAGGUCUGGCAGUUUGAUAUCUAGAAGUUACUGGCCUUUUUUCUUGCUUUGUAGGCAUUCUGCUGUUAAUAAACUGUUUGGUUUCUUCCCAACAGUUGUAGACUUUUUCUAACAGAUAUAGGUAACAACUUGUUACACAAUACAUUGUGUUGUUAGACCUAAUUAGCUGGCGGGAUACAACUGGUGCUAAAUACAGAAAGUCACAUCCAACAAUCUUAACAAAAUGACAAACAUAAAAGUUAGAAUGAUUAUUACUGAGUAAAGUUAUAUUAUCUUUGUCUAUUUCUAUGAAAGCACACAAAGUCCUCAAACACACACAGCCCUUACCAAUAUAUAGAAGUAUAUAUUUUUUGACUAGUAACUGGGUGAAACUCGAAAUGACAAAUGCUUUGCUCAGUAUCAAGACAUCAAUUGUGCAUCAAUUAUGUUGGUUUUACAAAUAAACCCUUGUUGUUUCCAGGUAACACAGGAUUCUAGAUUCACAAUUUGUCAUUUCUCAUCCCCUCUCCAUGUCCAUGUGCUCUAUUCCAAAGUAUAGAGCUCUCUUGAUUGAAUCCUAAUGCUCUAAUGGGGGGAAUAACAUAAACUGUGACAUUGCUUAUAGUGAGUACAAAGGCAGUAGCCAUGCUAGCAAUAGGAUCAUAAAUAAAAUUUACCCAGACAGCUUUUGGAAUUUCAGUUGGAAAGGCUCCUUCACUUCCUUCUCUUAUAAUUAAGGCAGCUGUUGAUUGCAACUAUAAUUGUGCCUGAAUACAGCUAAAAACCAAAGAUAUAUCACUGAGCCAUAGCAAGUGCAUCUAUGAUUAACCCAUGGUCUUUGUCUUUAGCUUUUUCCCAACUGGGUAACACUUUUGAAACCUGCCACUGACUGGUUCCCAAUGCCAACAAAGAUGAUUGUCUGGGAUGUUUUAAUUUUGUUAGCCUACUUGUAGCAGUGGUCAAUUUAUUCAUUAAUAUUUCUGAACCAAUUCUGUUUAGAACUCCCAGCCCUGUCCCUAAUAUUCCAGUCAGAUCCCUUUGCACUCUGCCCCUGGUGUGUGCUGGCCCUUGCAACCAUGUCAUCCAACCC
RNAcentral lists this long non-coding RNA (1830 nucleotides) under Taeniopygia guttata (zebra finch). Its description in RNAcentral is "lncRNA (ENSTGUG00000024343.1)". Lineage: Eukaryota; Metazoa; Chordata; Aves; Passeriformes; Estrildidae. The record is from RNAcentral.